GAUGAACGCUGACAGAAUGCUUAACACAUGCAAGUCAACUUGAAUUUGGGUUUUUAACUUAGGUUUGGGUGGCGGACGGGUGAGUAACGCGUAAAGAACUUGCCUCACAGCUAGGGACAACAUUUGGAAACGAAUGCUAAUACCUAAUAUUAUGAUAAUAGGGCAUCCUAUAAUUAUGAAAGCUAUCAGCGCUGUGAGAGAGCUUGCGUCCCAUUAGCUAGUUGGAGAGGUAACGGCUCACCAAGGCGAUGAUGGGUAGCCGGCCUGAGAGGGUGAUCGGCCACAAGGGGACUGAGACACGGCCCUUACUCCUACGGGAGGCAGCAGUGGGGAAUAUUGGACAAUGGACCAAGAGUCUGAUCCAGCAAUUCUGUGUGCACGAUGAAGUUUUUCGGAAUGUAAAGUGCUUUCAGUUGGGAAGAAAGAAAUGACGGUACCAACAGAAGAAGUGACGGCUAAAUACGUGCCAGCAGCCGCGGUAAUACGUAUGUCACGAGCGUUAUCCGGAUUUAUUGGGCGUAAAGCGCGUCUAGGUGGUUAUGUAAGUCUGAUGUGAAAAUGCAGGGCUCAACUCUGUAUUGCGUUGGAAACUGUAUAACUAGAGUACUGGAGAGGUAAGCGGAACUACAAGUGUAGAGGUGAAAUUCGUAGAUAUUUGUAGGAAUGCCGAUGGGGAAGCCAGCUUACUGGACAGAUACUGACGCUGAAGCGCGAAAGCGUGGGUAGCAAACAGG
Molecule: ribosomal RNA, 734 nt
Filed under: uncultured Fusobacterium sp.
Lineage: Bacteria; Fusobacteriati; Fusobacteriota; Fusobacteriia; Fusobacteriales; Fusobacteriaceae
Description: bacterial SSU rRNA
Rfam family: Bacterial small subunit ribosomal RNA
Source: RNAcentral